UACAGAGGGUGCAAACGUUGUUCGGAUUUACUGGGCGUAAAGCGCGUGUAGGCGGCCUUGCAAGUUGGAUGUGAAAGCCCACGGCUCAACCGUGGAAGCGCAUCCAAAACUGCAUCGCUCGAGUCUCGGAGAGGAAGGUGGAAUGCUUGGUGUAGAGGUGAAAUUCGUAGAUAUCAAGCAGAACACCUGCGGCGAAGGCGGCCUUCUGGACGAUGACUGACGCUGAGACGCGAAAGCGUGGGGAGCAAACAGG
This 253-nucleotide ribosomal RNA is filed under the name uncultured bacterium. RNAcentral's name for it is "partial 16S ribosomal RNA". It matches the Rfam family "Bacterial small subunit ribosomal RNA", at positions 524 to 776 of the family's 1533-position model. The record is from RNAcentral.